Non-coding RNA from Cinara cedri, 263 nucleotides. The record is from the annotation of a GenBank genome assembly. Lineage: Eukaryota; Metazoa; Arthropoda; Insecta; Hemiptera; Aphididae.
AAAUAUCCGGUUUUAAAUAUUUUACUGUCUAUAAUAUUAAAAAUAUAAAAUAUUGCAACGGUGACAAGUCGGCUGCGUAAAAAUUUGACUCUUGUGACAGAGUUCUGAUGCACACAGGUGGUUCUUUAUUUUUUUAAUCUUAUAAUAAAUUAAUUCGUAGAAUAAAGUCAUAUAAAACCUAAAACAGGUGGUGCAGGUGUGUCUAAAAUAGUGCGAUAGUUAUAAGUAAAAAGAAAAUUCUUGAAACUUUUUGUUGCUUUAUU